UGGGGAAUAUUGCGCAAUGGGCGAAAGCCUGACGCAGCGACGCCGCGUGAAGGAUGAAGUCUUUCGGGAUGUAAACUUCUGUCAAGAGGGACGAUUGUGACUGUACCUCUAAAGGAAGCUCCGGCUAACUACGUGCCAGCAGCCGCGGUAAUACGUAGGGAGCGAGCGUUAUCCGGAUUUAUUGGGCAUAAAGCGCAAGCAGGUGGUUUCUUAAGUCGGGUGUUAAAGCCUACAGCUCAACUGUAGUUCGCGCUCGAAACUGAGAAACUAGAGGUUAGUAGAGGAAAGCGGAACUCACGGUGUAGCGGUGAAAUGCGUAGAUAUCGUGAGGAACACCAGUUGCGAAGGCGGCUUUCUGGACUGAUCCUGACACUGAGGUGCGAAAGCGUGGGGAGCGAACGGG
Molecule: ribosomal RNA, 403 nt
Filed under: uncultured bacterium
Lineage: Bacteria
Description: bacterial SSU rRNA
Rfam family: Bacterial small subunit ribosomal RNA
Source: RNAcentral